RNAcentral lists this ribosomal RNA (262 nucleotides) under uncultured bacterium. Its description in RNAcentral is "partial 16S ribosomal RNA". It matches the Rfam family "Bacterial small subunit ribosomal RNA", at positions 524 to 776 of the family's 1533-position model. The record is from RNAcentral.
GACGUAGGGCGCGAGCGUUGUCCGGAUUUAUUGGGCGUAAAGAGCUCGUAGGCGGCUUGUCGCGUCGUUCGUGAAAACCUGUGGCUCAACUACAGGCUUGCGGUCGAUACGGGCAGGCUGGAGUUCGGUAGGGGGAGACUGGAAUUCCUGGUGUAGCGGUGGAAAAUGCGCAGAUAUCAGGAGGAACACCGGUGGCGAAGGGCGGGGUCUCUGGGGCCGAUACUGACGCUGAGGGAGCGAAAAGCGUGGGGGAGCGAACAGG